Molecule: ribosomal RNA, 720 nt
Filed under: Terrabacter aeriphilus
Lineage: Bacteria; Bacillati; Actinomycetota; Actinomycetes; Micrococcales; Intrasporangiaceae
Description: bacterial SSU rRNA
Rfam family: Bacterial small subunit ribosomal RNA
Source: RNAcentral
AACGGUGAUCAUCAAGCUUGCUUGGUGUGAUCAGUGGCGAACGGGUGAGUAACACGUGAGUAACCUGCCCCAGACUCUGGGAUAACUCCGGGAAACCGGGGCUAAUACCGGAUAUGACACCGACGGGCAUCCGUACGGUGUGGAAAGUUUUUUCGGUCUGGGAUGGGCUCGCGGCCUAUCAGCUUGUUGGUGAGGUAGUGGCUCACCAAGGCGACGACGGGUAGCCGGCCUGAGAGGGCGACCGGCCACACUGGGACUGAGACACGGCCCAGACUCCUACGGGAGGCAGCAGUGGGGAAUAUUGCACAAUGGGCGGAAGCCUGAUGCAGCGACGCCGCGUGAGGGAUGACGGCCUUCGGGUUGUAAACCUCUUUCAGCAGGGAAGAAGCGUGAGUGACGGUACCUGCAGAAGAAGCACCGGCUAACUACGUGCCAGCAGCCGCGGUAAUACGUAGGGUGCGAGCGUUGUCCGGAAUUAUUGGGCGUAAAGAGCUUGUAGGCGGUUUGUCGCGUCUGCUGUGAAAAUCCGGGGCUCAACCCCGGACUUGCAGUGGGUACGGGCAGACUAGAGUGUGGUAGGGGAGACUGGAAUUCCUGGUGUAGCGGUGGAAUGCGCAGAUAUCAGGAGGAACACCGAUGGCGAAGGCAGGUCUCUGGGCCACUACUGACGCUGAGAAGCGAAAGCAUGGGGAGCGAACAGGAUUAGAUACCCUGGUAGUC